AGGCGGCGUGACCUUCCCGGGCGUCCAGGGAAGCGGCGAGAGCUGCCACGCACGUGCCGCGGGACCCGCGCGCCGCCCAGGGAUGGCCCGCCGGGGUCGCUGGAGAAUCUCAGGGUCAUCGGCCUCCUUCCCCCAGUGCCUACCUGGAUAUGUGGUGCCUGUCAUAAGGUCCAGCGAGCUGCCUUCCACGAGACCAGCAGAAGAGUGGGCAAACGUGAAGUCCAGUCCUGCUGCCCAGGCUGCCAUUGACCUCACGGCGGGGGCUGCAGGUUCCUGCUUCUCCACGCCAAUGACAUGGUGAGAGAAUACAGGGGGAGCUGAAGACAAACAACAUAAACUUAUGUUUGCAAAGCACCUUUUACUCUGUGAAAUAAAGUGAGUGCAAGCAGUAAAUGGAACAACAAGCUUUCAGAGUCACUGCAGGGCAAGAGCUGGGGAAGGAAGAGCUGGCUGGUCAGGGAGGAUGCACUGGAGAGAAAAACCAUCACUCAAUUGGCUAGGACAUUCCAGGACAUCAGGGAGACCACACAACAGCCAGAGUGUCUCUUCUCCUCCAAAUGAACGCAACACCUCUCCAGCAAGGGCACAGAACUGGGCUGAGGCUGAGUAUUGCUGAGGCAAUACCGUUUAGAACAUAGGCACGGGUAAGGAUUUCAUGACAAAAACACCAAAAGCAAUUGCAACCAAAGCAAAAAUUGAUAAAUGGGAUCUAAUUGAACCUAAGAGCUUCUGCAUAGCAAAAGAAACUAUCAUCGGAGUGAACAGACAGCAUACAGAAUGGGAGAAAAUUUUUGCAAUCUGUCUGUCUGACAAAGGCCUAAUAUCCAGAAUCUAUAAGGAACUUAAACAAAUUUACAAGAAAAAAAACAACCCCAUUAAAAAGUAGGCAAAGAACAUAAACACACACUUCUCAAAAGAAGGCAUUCAUGUGGCCAACAAACAUAUGGAAAAAAAAAGCUUAACAUCACUGAUCUUUAGAGAAAGGCAAAUCAAAACCACAAUGAGAUAUCAUCUCAUGCCAGUCAGAAUGGCAAUUAUUAAGAAGUCCAGAAACAACAGAUACUGGCAAGGUUGCAGAGAAAAAGGAAAGCUUUUACACUGUCGAUGGGAAUGUAAAUUAGUUCAACCCUUGUGGAAGACAGUAUGGCAAUUCCUCAAAGAUCUAAAGGCAGGAAUAGCAUUUGACGCAGCAAUCCCAUUACUGGAUAUAUACCCAAAGGAAUAUAAAUCAUUCUGUUAUAAAUAUACAUGCACCUGUAUGUUUAUUGCAACACUAUUCACAAUAGCAAAGACAUGGAAUCAACCCAAAUGCCUAUGAAUGAUAAACUGGAUAAAGACAAUGUGGUACACAUACACCAUGGAAUACUAUGCAGCCAUAAAAGGGAAGGAGAUCAUGUCCUUUGUAGGGACACAGAUGGAGCUGGAAGCUGUUAUCUUCAGCAAACUAAUAGAGGAACAGAAAACAAAACAACACAUGUUCUCACUUAUAAGUGGGCGCUGAAUGAUGAGAUCACAUGGACACAUGGCAGGGAAGAAAACACACUGAGGCCUGUUGCGGGGAGGGCCUGAUGGGGGGAGGGAGAGCAUCAGGAAGAACAGAUAAUGGAUGCUGGGCUUAAUACCAAGGUGAUGGGUUGAUCUGUGCAGCAAACCACCAUGGCACACAUUUACCAAUGUAACAAAACUGCACAUCCUGCACAUGUACUCCAGAACUUAAAAUAAAAGUUGAAGGAAACAAAAACAAAAAUGAGGCCGGACGUGGGAGCUCACCCCUGUAAUCCCAGCACAUUAGGAGACCAAGGUGGAUUGUUCACGAGGUCAGGAGUUUGAGACCAGCCUGACCAACAUGGUGAAACCCCAUCUCUACUAAAAAUACAAAAAUUAGCCAAGUGCGGUGGGGGGCACCUGUAAUCCCAGCUACUCAGGAGGCUGAGGCAGGAGAAUCACUUGAACCUGGGAGGUGGAGGUUGCAGUGAGCCAAGAUGGCGCCAUUGCACUCCAGCCUGGGUGACAGAGCAAGACUUCAUCUCAAAACAAAACAAAAAACAAAAAUAAAAAACCCUUUAUAAAUA
RNAcentral lists this long non-coding RNA (2072 nucleotides) under Homo sapiens (human). RNAcentral's name for it is "long independently transcribed non-coding RNA 345, transcript variant 1 (LINC00345)". The record is from RNAcentral. Lineage: Eukaryota; Metazoa; Chordata; Mammalia; Primates; Hominidae.